UACGGAGGGUGCAAGCGUUGUUCGGAAUCACUGGGCGUAAAGGGCGCGUAGGCGGCCGCAUUAGUCUGAUGUGAAAGCCCGGGGCUCAACUCCGGAAGUGCAUUGGAAACUGUGCGGCUUGAGUUCGGGAGAGGAAGGCAGAAUUCCCGGUGUAGGGUUGAAAUCCGUAGAUAUCGGGAGGAAAACCGGUGGCGAAGGCGGCCUUCUGGAACGAAACUGACGCUGAGGCGCGAAAGCGUGGGGAGCAAACGGG
This 253-nucleotide ribosomal RNA is filed under the name uncultured bacterium. RNAcentral's name for it is "partial 16S ribosomal RNA". It matches the Rfam family "Bacterial small subunit ribosomal RNA", at positions 524 to 776 of the family's 1533-position model. The record is from RNAcentral.